AAAGUGUUAGGUGAAAUGCCCUCUCUAAGAGCUCCAAGAAUCGCCCAAACAGUGAAAUAAAUAAGCUCAAAAUGCCUAAGUCUCGUAUCAAAUGAGGUUCCGCCUUCUGCAAUUUUUGCACCUGCGAAGGUUUGGCCGCAUCUACGGUCUUGCACCUGCAGAAAAAUGAUUGAAGGUUCCCAUUUUCGCUACCUGACCAAAUUCCGCAUUUGCGGACUCAAGGGACCGCACCAGCCUGCACCUGCGACCAUGAAUUUCGCACCUGCGGCCUUGUAGGUGCGCCAAAAUAGGCUGCCCUCACUCUUUCGCUUCUGUGGCUCGUGGCUCGCACCUGCGGAUGGCCAAGUCAAUGUGCGAUUAUGACAGAUACCUGAUGCUUCAGUUGUUGCUUCCCAAGUCCAAACUUGGUCCGAGCCUCGUUCGAUUAACACUCGGGCCCCCCAGGGCCUGCCUGAAUAUACCAUCAAUUUUGAAAUCAUAAAAUAGAUUCGUUUGAAUUCUCGGAACUCCCAAAACAACACUAAAACUAAGAAUCACGACCCCAAAAUCAAUUGAAUCAAACUUAUGAACUUCAAGUUCUUCAAUUUACCUCUAAUGCGCUGAAACAUCCUUACACUACUCGAAAUGACACCAAAUUUUGCUUGCAAGUCUUAAAUGAAAUUAUGGAACUAUUUGCGGUCUCGAAAUUCCAUUUGGACCUCGUUAUCACCAAAACUUUACAAACCAAAUUUAAAGAACUUCUAAAAUCUUCAAAGAACCAACUUUCACUGUUAAGCGUCAAAACGCUCCCGGAUCAUCCAAAACCCAAUCCAAACAUACGAUCAUGUCCGAAAUCAUCAUACGAACCUAUUGGGCCCGUCAAAUCUCAAUUUUAAGUUCAUUUACUCAAAAUUUUGACCGAAGUCAAACUUAGCCUUUUAAGUCAACUUAAGGAACCAAGUGUUCCGAUUUCAACCCGAACUCUUCCAAAUCCCAAACUAACCGUCUCCACAAGCCAUAAAUUAGUAAAGUAUGUACGGAAAGUCUUAUUUAGGGGAACGAGGUUCUAGAAAGCAAAAUGACCGGUCGGAUCGUUACAUUAAUCCUGAACAAAAAUAGUCACUACUCUAUUAAAAUUAAUACAAAAAGAUGGUUUUACCUUUUCUUCAUGAGUGUUGUGUAAAUAUUAAGAACAUGGAGUCCUUAAUAUUUAUACAGCACUCAUGAAGUUAAGGAUAUGAUGUCCUAAAGUUUAACAACAGAAGGUGCAAAUGUAGGGCACUUUGUCCUUAAUAUUUACACAACACUUAUUGUCACACCUCCUUUUUACACCCCGAGAGGGUAUAUAAGGGAGUUUUUCCAAUUAAUGUGACAUUAUUUGAAAUAAGAUUAUUUAUUUAAUUCAUAGAGUUACCACUUGGAAUAUUUUAAUUAGUGCCCCAAGUCACCGGUUUAUUUUUAAAUCCCAAAUCGAGGAAAUUUUGACUUUCCUUUUGAAGUCUGCGAACCAGAAAUUCUAGCUAAGGAAUUUUGUUAACCCGGGAGAAGGUGUUAGACAUUCCCGUGUUCCGUGGUUCUAGCAUGGUCGCUUAGCAAUUUAUACUUGGCUUAAUUGUUUAACUACUCAUUUUUAAAACCUAUGUGCAAUUAUCUUUUUACCACUUUUAUUUGAAACGAAUCACAUGUACAUGUACUCAUUUUGUUUGGCGCGUCAAAAAUCAUGUCACGCGAACGUGUUCAUAAUUAAUAACGCUUUAUUAUUAUUACUAACGAAGUUUAACCGAAGUUGCGCGUACGCAUACCUCGAUUUAUUUUGAAAAAUCAUAACUAUGUUACGCGAACAUGUACACAAUCACAAUAGAUGAUUAGGAGCUUGAGGAAACGAAUAGAGUUAUUCCAACAAAGUCACAAUAAAGUUAACGUAAAAACAAAGACUAACAUGUGAUAAAUUCUCUAUGAAAACUUGAAAUCAUCAAAUUAGUAGUUUGUUCAUGUACGACUAAUAUACUACAUAAGUCGAAUUAACUUUUCAAACUUCACUAUCAAUCAAACGAAAGGCCCUUAAUUUCAGAAGUUCAAAAGAAAAAGUUCUACAUAAGAAUUCAAAAAUCCACUUAACUAUUCGAAUUGUAUAACUUGAUAAUAAUUUUCUUUAACAAACCAACUUCAACCAUUGACCUCGUAGUUUUUUCACUAAAAUUAGUAUAAUACAAAGUCAGAUAAACAUCUUUUACAAAGAAAUAUUACCUUCUUUUAUGAAGUCAAAUUCUUAGCCCUAACAAAGGGCCCCACUUAAUUAAUUGCAUGCCACAAAAUUAGACGUAAAGAGGGAUAUGUUUUCAAACAAUACUUAAAUCAGUUUUUUACAAAAUAAGCAUGUAAAUUAUGACAACACAUUUAAUUAAAACAAAUAGCUAAAGCAUUGACAUGAGAUUAUGGGAAUCAGUAGAUGAAUUGAAGAAAAGAACGGACCUCUUAGGAUAAACUUUCUUCAACAUUGAUAAAAUAAAUUUCCAAGGUUGAAUUACAGGAGAAAAAUGCCGACUACUACUCGACGGGGAACAGGAGGUCAACCAGAGUUCAAAAACUCGCCGGAUCCAGAUCGCGGAUGAAUGAGGACCUCACUAGAACUUUAGACAGAGCUACGAUAGAACCAUGACGAGAUCAUGGAAAACUCGCCGUAAAGCUCGCCGGAGUUCAAACGGAGACAUCACUUAAACUCAAACUAUUUUUGAUGAUUUAACGUCUGUUUGUGAAAUGGUUGUUUGUUCUGGGCUAGGAUGAAGCCAUGGCAGAUUUUCUCGUUUUUUAUUGAAGGAGACGAUGAAGGGGGGGUCUUCUUUUGGAGUUAUACGGCAUUAUUGUUUCUUCGGAGUCUAGGUUUUCUUUUUCAGCUUUUUCCUUAGCUCCCUAGGUCUCUUAGGUGUUCAGGUCAGCCUUGUUUUGUCUUUGUAUCUUCUUUUUUUUUGCUUUUUUCUUUGAUCUCUU
Molecule: long non-coding RNA, 2967 nt
Filed under: Nicotiana tabacum (common tobacco)
Lineage: Eukaryota; Viridiplantae; Streptophyta; Magnoliopsida; Solanales; Solanaceae
Description: long non-coding RNA (NTAB_LNC007292)
Source: RNAcentral